UUUCAUUAUUCUUGUAUUAUCUAUCAAUUUUGAUCGGGAUGGGAACUUUUUCAUCAGGAAAUGGGUGACAUGGAAGUUGGUGAUUAAUCUCCAGAUCGAUAUUCAUGAAUCAUAUCACAGAAAUGGAAUUUCACAACAACAGGUGUUAGUCAAGAUAAAUGUCAUCGUUAUCAACGACAUCAAUUCAGACACAUAUACCUACAAUUGAAAUGGCUAACUUAGUUACAGUUAAUGUAUGUCUGUCGCUGUCUGUCUGUCAGUCUGUAUGUAUAUAUAUGUGUGUGUGUGUGGUGCAAUUUUCAAUCAGCACCGUCCACAUCCACUAACGACCUUAUUAAAGAUCAAACAUUCGCAGUGUUUCUUGUGUAGUAGAUAAAAUUACACUAUUUGUUCUCGCUUGUCAGAGAAUAUAAGUGUUAAUAAA
This is a long non-coding RNA of Ostrea edulis (European flat oyster), 424 nucleotides long. RefSeq lists it as uncharacterized. NCBI's taxonomy places the organism in Eukaryota, Metazoa, Mollusca, Bivalvia, Ostreida, Ostreidae. The record is from RefSeq and is a predicted model, not a curated record. The transcript has 2 exons.